Molecule: ribosomal RNA, 535 nt
Filed under: uncultured bacterium
Lineage: Bacteria
Description: bacterial SSU rRNA
Rfam family: Bacterial small subunit ribosomal RNA
Source: RNAcentral
UGGGGAAUCUUGCACAAUGGGCGAAAGCCUGAUGCAGCGACGCCGCGUGGGGGAUGAAGCUUCUCGGAGUGUAAACCCCUUUCGAUCCGGACGAAUGCCCGCAAGGGAUUGACGGUACGGAUAUAAGAAGCCCCGGCUAACUACGUGCCAGCAGCCGCGGUAAUACGUAGGGGGCCAGCGUUGUUCGGAAUUACUGGGUGUAAAGGGUUCGUAGGCGGUGCGGCAANUUGGGAGUGAAAUCUCUGGGCUCAACCCAGAGGCUGCUUCCAAAACUGCCGUGCUUGAGUGUGGGAGAGGCUCGUGGAAUUGCAGGUGUAGCGGUGAAAUGCGUAGAUAUCUGCAGGAACACCCGUGGCGAAAGCGGCGAGCUGGACCACUACUGACGCUGAAGAACGAAAGCUAGGGGAGCAAACAGGAUUAGAUACCCUGGUAGUCCUAGCCCUAAACGAUCAGGACUUGGGGUGCCACCCGUUCGGGUGUCGUCCCGGAGCUAACGCGUUAAGUCCUGCACCUNNAGNGUACGGUCGCAAGACUG